RNAcentral lists this ribosomal RNA (520 nucleotides) under uncultured Archangiaceae bacterium. RNAcentral's name for it is "bacterial SSU rRNA". It matches the Rfam family "Bacterial small subunit ribosomal RNA", at positions 23 to 523 of the family's 1533-position model. Lineage: Bacteria; Pseudomonadati; Myxococcota; Myxococcia; Myxococcales; Archangiaceae. The record is from RNAcentral.
CUCAGAACGAACGCUGGCGGCGUGCCUAACACAUGCAAGUCGAGCGCGAAUGGAGCAAUCCUAGUAGAGCGGCGCACGGGUGCGUAACACGUGGGUAAUCUGACCUGGAAGACCGGAAUAACCUGCCGAAAGGCUGGCUAAUGCCGGAUAAGCCUACGGGUUCCUCGGAACCUGAAGGAAAAGGUGGCCUCUGUAUACAAGCUAUCACUUCCAGAUGAGCCCGCGGCCCAUCAGUUAGUUGGCGGGGUAAUGGCCCACCAAGACUACGACGGGUAGCUGGUCUGAGAGGACGAUCAGCCACACUGGAACUGAGACACGGUCCAGACUCCUACGGGAGGCAGCAGUGGGGGAAUUUUGCACAAUGGGCGAAAGCCUGAUGCAGCAACGCCGCGUGUGUGAUGAAGGUCUUCGGAUUGUAAAGCACUUUCGACCGGGACGAACACCCCUUGGCCAAUAUCCAAGGGCCUGACGGUACCGGGAGAAGAAGCACCGGCUAACUCUGUGCCAGCAGCCGCGGUAA